This 511-nucleotide ribosomal RNA is filed under the name uncultured bacterium. RNAcentral's name for it is "bacterial SSU rRNA". It matches the Rfam family "Bacterial small subunit ribosomal RNA", at positions 8 to 518 of the family's 1533-position model. The record is from RNAcentral.
AGAGUUUGAUCAUGGCUCAGGAUGAACGCUGGCGGCGUGCUUAACACAUGCAAGUCGAACGAAGCACUUACUUAGAUUCCUUCGGGGUGACGAGUUUGUGACUGAGUGGCGGACGGGUGAGUAACGCGUGGGUAACCUGCCUUAUACAGGGGGAUAACAGUUAGAAAUGACUGCUAAUACCGCAUAACCCGCUAGUAUCGCAUGAUACAGACGGAAAAGAUUUAUCGGUAUAAGAUGGACCCGCGUCUGAUUAGCUAGUUGGUGAGGUAACGGCUCACCAAGGCGACGAUCAGUAGCCGGCUUGAGAGAGUGAACGGCCACAUUGGGACUGAGACACGGCCCAAACUCCUACGGGAGGCAGCAGUGGGGAAUAUUGCACAAUGGGGGAAACCCUGAUGCCAGCGACGCCGCGUGAGUGAAGAAGCAUUUCGGUAUGUAAAGCUCUAUCAGCAGGGAAGAAAAUGACGGUACCUGACUAAGAAGCCCCGGCUAACUACGUGCCAGCCGCCGC